GAUGAACGCUGGCGGCGUGCCUAAUACAUGCAAGUCGAGCGAACAGACGAGGAGCUUGCUCCUCUGACGUUAGCGGCGGACGGGUGAGUAACACGUGGAUAACCUACCUAUAAGACUGGGAUAACUUCGGGAAACCGGAGCUAAUACCGGAUAAUAUAUUGAACCGCAUGGUUCAAUAGUGAAAGACGGUUUUGCUGUCACUUAUAGAUGGAUCCGCGCCGCAUUAGCUAGUUGGUAAGGUAACGGCUUACCAAGGCAACGAUGCGUAGCCGACCUGAGAGGCUGAUCGGCCACCCUGGAGCGUGGACACGGUCCAGACUCCUACGGGAGGCAGCAGUAGGGAAUCUUCCGCAAUGGGCGAAAGCCUUACGGAGCAACGCCGCGUGAGUGAUGACGGUCUUCGGAUCGUAAAACUCUGUUAUUAGGGAAGAACAAAUGUGUAAGUAACUAUGCACGUCUUGACGGUACCUAAUCAGAAAGCCACGGCUAACUACGUG
RNAcentral lists this ribosomal RNA (497 nucleotides) under uncultured bacterium. RNAcentral's name for it is "partial 16S ribosomal RNA". It matches the Rfam family "Bacterial small subunit ribosomal RNA", at positions 28 to 507 of the family's 1533-position model. The record is from RNAcentral.